This 1150-nucleotide long non-coding RNA is filed under the name Mus spicilegus (steppe mouse). RNAcentral describes it as "lncRNA (ENSMSIG00000032189.1)". The record is from RNAcentral. Lineage: Eukaryota; Metazoa; Chordata; Mammalia; Rodentia; Muridae.
CUACAUACAUAUAUGUACACUUAUUUAUUUAUAAGCCUUAGUUAAAGUUAGAAAAAUUAAUUUUGCAUAUGGAUAAGUCCCACAAAUUAGCACUGGUUUAAAAGAAGCCUGAAAGAUAUCAUUUUGCUUCUUUAAAAGUAAAAAAUGCCAAUGCAGAAUUUAAAAGUAGAGUAUCAUGCUAAUAACUUUUUAUCUUUAGAUUAUUGCUCAUUUUUCACAGUGAUUCAUUCACUCAUGCAACAAGUGUUUGACAAACACCAGCUAUAAAGAGGUACCAUUCACAAAGACCUUUGACCCGGAGAACCCUACGAUGUGUAGCAGGCAGGUAAUGGAGAUCCCUCCUUCACAUAUCAUCCAAACAUCAUUACAGAGGCUCUUCAUGUAUUCUGAAAGUAAAGAAGAGAGAAGACACAUGACUUCCACAGAGCGUGUUCAACAUUGAAGGGGGAACGAAAACAGUAAACGAGCAUCAGUGUGUGUUUAUGGAGCAGAGUGAUAAAGCCAGUGUAUAAAAUGUCAGUCAAGUGACAUAUUAAAAUUCCGGGUGGCUAUAUUUAUGUGGACAGAAAAGACUCUUCUUCGAAGACACUUAAGCUGUGCCCCCAAGAGACCAUAGGAAGACUAUUAUCAGGUGGAAUCAAGUGUCUUUUUGCUGCUAUUGUCGCUAUCAUUAACAACUAUGUUUAUGGGUUGUGUGGUGGUAUGUGCCUCUUGUUCCACACUUGGGAAAUGGAAGGCAAGGAGAUUUUGAGUUCAUGGCCAGCCUGAGUUAUAUAAAAGCUAAGUCCCAAAUUAGAAAAGGAAAUUAAUAACAGAUUAAUACUUUAAUCAUUGAUAUAUACUUGACUCUGUGUCUACAUCUACAUGUGUGAGAACGUGCAUGAACUUCCAGGAGGACUCACAAGUGGUUCAUGAUGCUGGGUAUGACUUAGGACAGAGACGAUGCCUCGGGAGUAAGAAGGAAAACAAAUGAGAAGCCAAACCCUUGAAGAGGAAGGUGUGAAUGGAACCCAGUGUUCACUGGCAACAGCAGAGGAUCUGAGAAGCAGAUCCCAAUGUGGAGAGCAUUGGCAAAUAAGCUGGAGAAGAAGGGCCUUGUGGAAGAUGUGUAACGUAAAUUAAGCCUUGACAGGGGAAACCAGCCCAAAAG